RNAcentral lists this ribosomal RNA (603 nucleotides) under Triticum aestivum (bread wheat). RNAcentral describes it as "partial small subunit ribosomal RNA". Lineage: Eukaryota; Viridiplantae; Streptophyta; Magnoliopsida; Poales; Poaceae. The record is from RNAcentral.
AUGAGAAGCCGCCUUUGGGAGAACGAUGGCUCGUCGCGGGUGACUUUAACCAAAUUUAUUGGGCAAGAGACAAGAAUCGUUCUAAUGCAAAUCGUAGUCGCAUCACCCGUUUCCGGAAUGCCCUCAAUUUUGCAAGCUAAAGGAAAUCCACCUAAAAACAGGAGGUUUACAUGGAGCAAUGAGCAAAAUAACCCGACCAUGUCCAAACUUGAUGGUUUCUUCUGCAAUGAGGAUUGGGAUAUCACCUUCGACAAACACAUCAUGCAUGCCUUAUCUUCAUCACUCUCUGACCAUUGCCCACUUCUCCUGGCCAAUGAUGAUAGCCCUCGGCGACCGCAGAGUUUUCACUUUGAGAACUUCUGGACCAACAUGCCAGGCUUCCAGCAAGUCAUCCUAGAGGCAUGGAACGAGCCCUCCCAGCACCACGAUCCUUUCCUAAGGUUAUUCCACAAGUUGACGAAGACCAGUCAGAAACUGCGAGUUUGGAGCAGAACCCUUUUCUCCAAUGCUAAGGUCCAACUACAUAUGGCCUUGAAGAUCAUCCUUCGCCUUGAUGAGGCCCAGGAUGUGCGGAUUCUUAGUCCCGAGGAGGGUUAUAUAUAG